GCCCAGACUCCUACGGGAGGCAGCAGUGGGGAAUAUUGGGCAAUGGGCGAAAGCCUGACCCAGCAACGCCGCGUGAAGGAAGAAGGCUUUCGGGUUGUAAACUUCUUUUGACAGGGAAGAGCAGAAGACGGUACCUGUCGAAUAAGCCCCGGCUAACUACGUGCCAGCAGCCGCGGUAAUACGUAGGGGGCAAGCGUUAUCCGGAUUUACUGGGUGUAAAGGGAGCGUAGACGGCAGUGCAAGUCUGAAGUGAAAGGCGGGGGCCCAACCCCCGGACUGCUUUGGAAACUGUGCUGCUGGAGUGCAGGAGAGGCAAGUGGAAUUCCUAGUGUAGCGGUGAAAUGCGUAGAUAUUAGGAAGAACACCAGUGGCGAAGGCGGCUUUCUGGACUGAAACUGACGCUGAGGCACGAAAGCGUGGGGAGCGAACAGGAUUAGAUACCCCAGUA
This 448-nucleotide ribosomal RNA is filed under the name uncultured bacterium. RNAcentral's name for it is "bacterial SSU rRNA". It matches the Rfam family "Bacterial small subunit ribosomal RNA", at positions 329 to 792 of the family's 1533-position model. The record is from RNAcentral.